AUUCUCCCAUCCCAAGCGGUUUUUAUCAAAGAAUUGCUAGGCGAUGGGGUUGAGAUGGGCGUUAUUAUAACUGCUUUUCUUCUCUAGAAAAAGCUCGCCCGAAAAACAGCUAACGCCUCUGGGCCACUUUGCAUCCGCUUCUCUGAGGGGAGAAGCGGCCAAGCGCGCUCUGAUCAUCAGGCAUAGCAUGAUACGUCAUUUGCUAUGCUGUAGGAGAGCCUUUGGAUCCUGUGCGUGCGAGAUGAGUCCUUCACCGAGGGGCAAUUCCAACGA
Molecule: unclassified non-coding RNA, 273 nt
Filed under: Malassezia globosa
Lineage: Eukaryota; Fungi; Basidiomycota; Malasseziomycetes; Malasseziales; Malasseziaceae
Description: sequence contains ITS2
Source: RNAcentral